This 1322-nucleotide ribosomal RNA is filed under the name Microgaster sp. SNS-2016. Its description in RNAcentral is "16S ribosomal RNA". Lineage: Eukaryota; Metazoa; Arthropoda; Insecta; Hymenoptera; Braconidae. The record is from RNAcentral.
AAUAAAAAAAAAUAAUUUAAACAAUUAAUUAAAUUUUUAAAAAAAUUAAUUAACUUAAAUAUUUAAUUUUUUUUGUUUAUAAAAUAUAAAACAAUUAAUUUAAUUUUAAAAAUAAAUUUAAAAAUUAUUUAAUUUAAAGAAAAAUUUUAUAUUUAUACCUUUUGUAUCAGGGUUAAUUAAAAUUUUAUAAAAAUUUUUAUAAUUCUCGAAUUUAAAAAAUUUAAAUUUUUAAUUAUUUUAAUAUAAAAAUAUUAAAUAAAAUAUUAAUUUAGAAACUAUAUAUUAGCCAAUUUUAAAAUUAUCUAGUUAUUUAGGAUAUAAAUUUAAUUUAAUUUUAAUUUUUAAAAAUUUUUUAUUUAAAAAAAAUUUUAAAUUAAAAAAAAAAUUUAAGGGAUAAACUCUAAAUUUAAUUUAUAAAUUAAUUAAUUAAAUAUAUAUUUUUAAAAUAUAAUUAUUUUCACGUAAAAAAUAUAUAAUAAUAUUAUAAAUUUUAAUAUAUAAUAUUUAUAUAUAUAUAUAUAUAUAUAUAUUAAAUACCCAAUUAAUUAUUUUAAAUAAAAUUUUAAUAAAUUACUAAAUUAUUUAAUUUAAUUAUUCAAUUUAAAAAAUAAUGAUUAAAUAAGUAAUUUAAAAAUUAAUUUAAAUAAUAUUUUUAAUAUUAAUAAAAUUUAAUGAACUAGGCAAUUUUAUAUUCACCUGUUUAACAAAAACAUGUCUUAUAGAAAUUAAUUUUAAGUCUAAUCUGCUCAAUGAAAUUUAAAUAGCUGCAGUAUAAAUAACUGUACAAAGGUAGCAUAAUAAUUAGUUUUUUAAUUAAAAACUAGAAUGAAAGAUUUAAUGAAAUAUAACCUGUAUCAAAAUUUAUAAAUAAAUUUUUUAUUUAAAUAAAAAAAUUUAAAUAAUUUUUAAAGACGAUAAGACCCUAAGAAUUUUAUAAUUUAUCAAUAAAUUAUUUAUUAAUAAAUUAUUUUAAUUGGGGCAAUUUUAAAAUUUAUUAAACUUUUAAUUAAUUAAACAUAAAUUUUUGAAUAAUUAAAUUUUUUUAAAAAAAUAAAUUUAAAUUACCUUAGGGAUAACAGCAUAAUUUUUUUAAAAAGUUCAAAUUUAUAAAAAAGUUUAUGACCUCGAUGUUGAAUUAAGAUUAAUUUAAUAGAAAAAUAUUAAAAAUUUAAGUCUGUUCGACUUUUAAAAUCUUACAUGAUUUGAGUUAAGAUCGGUGAAAGCCAGAUCGGAUUCUAUCUUAAUAUUAAUUUUAUAUUUUUGUACGAAAGGAAUAAAUAUUUAAAAUAAUUUUUAUAAAUAAAUUUAUUUAAUUAAUUAUA